AGAUUCUUGGUCAUUUAGAGGAAGUAAAAGUCGUAACAAGGUUUCCGUAGGUGAACCUGCGGAAGGAUCAUUACACAAAAGGAUACCCUCACCGGUAUACCCCACCCGUGUCUAUUUACUCUUGUUGCUUUGGCAGGCCGUGGUCUCCCACUGCGGGCUCUGCCUGCAAGUGCCUGCCAGAGGACCAAACUCUGAAUUUUAGUGAUGUCUGAGUACUAUAUAAUAGUUAAAACUUUCAACAACGGAUCUCUUGGUUCUGGCAUCGAUGAAGAACGCAGCGAAAUGCGAUAAGUAAUGUGAAUUGCAGAAUUCAGUGAAUCAUCGAAUCUUUGAACGCACAUUGCGCCCUGUGGUAUUCCGCAGGGCAUGCCUGUUCGAGCGUCAUUAUAGCCACUCAAGCCUUGCUUGGUGUUGGGGCUCGCAAUCUUGCGGCCUCUAAAAUUAGUGGCGGUGCCGGUAGGCUCUGAGCGUAGUACAUCUUCUCGCUAUAGAGUCCUGUCGGUCCCCUGCCAAAACCCCCAUAUUUUAUAGGUUGACCUCGGAUCAGGUAGGGAUACCCGCUGAACAUAAGCAUAUCAAUAAGCGGAGGAAA
This 592-nucleotide ribosomal RNA is filed under the name uncultured Helotiales. RNAcentral describes it as "eukaryotic LSU rRNA". The stretch from base 231 to 384 matches the Rfam family "5.8S ribosomal RNA". Lineage: Eukaryota; Fungi; Ascomycota; Leotiomycetes; Helotiales. The record is from RNAcentral.